UACUUGCUGACGACGGCGCACGGGUGAGUACGCGUAUGCAACCUACCUUUGACUGGAGAAUAGCGCGAAGAGAGUCGGAUUAAUGCUCCAUGAGACCACAAUACCGCAUGAUAUAGUGGUAAAAGCUCAGGCGUGUCAAGAUGGGCAUGCGUGCCAUUAGUUAGUUGGUGAGGUUACGGCUCACCAAGACAACGAUGGCUAGGGGGUCUGAGAGGAUGAUCCCCCACACUGGUACUGAGACACGGACCAGACUCCUACGGGAGGCAGCAGUGAGGAAUAUUGGUCAAUGGACGCAAGUCUGAACCAGCCAUGCCGCGUGCAGGAUGAAUGCCCUAUGGGUUGUAAACUGCUUUUCUACAAGAAGAAACUUCCUGAUGUAUCAGGAACUGACGGUAUUGUAGGAAUAAGCAUCGGCUAACUCCGUGCCAGCAGCCGCGGUAAUACGGAGGAUGCAAGCGUUAUCCGGAUUCAUUGGGUUUAAAGGGUGCGUAGGCGGGGUAGUAAGUCAGUGGUGAAAGCCUGCGGCUUAACCGUAGAAUUGCCAUUGAUACUGCUAUUCUUGAGUGCAGUUGAGGUAGGCGGAAUGUGUAAUGUAGCGGUGAAAUGCUUAGAUAUUACACAGAACACCGAUUGCGUAAGCAGAUUACUAAACUGUAACUGACGCUGAGGCACGAAAGCGUGGGGAGCGAACAGGAUUAGAUACCCUGGUAGUCCACGCUGUAAACUAUGAUCGACUCGCUGUUGGCGAUACAUUGUCAGCGGCUGAGCGAAAGCAUUAAGUGAUCCACCUGGGGGAAUACGGCCGCAAGGUUGAAACUCAAAGGAAUUGACGGGGGCCCGCACAAGCGGUGGAACAUGUGGUUUAAUUCGAUGAUACGCGAGGAACCUAACCUGGGCUUAAAUGCAGAACGACGUACCGGGAAACUGGUACUCCAUUCGGGGCGGACUGCAAGGUGCUGCAUGGUUGUCGUCAGCUCAUGCCGUGAGGUGUCGGGUUAAGUCCCAUAACGAGCGCAACCCUCAUUGUUAGUUGCCAGCGAGUAACGUCGGCCACUCUAACGAAACGGCCGGUGUCACCCGUGCGCAAGGUGGGGAUGACGUCAAAUCAGCACGGCCCUUAUGUCCAGGGCUACACACGUGUUACAAUGGCCAGUACAAAGGGCAGCUACCACGCGAGUGGAUGCUAAUCUCUAAAGCUGGUCUCAGUUCGGAUUGAAGUCUGCAACUCGACUUCAUG
RNAcentral lists this ribosomal RNA (1237 nucleotides) under uncultured organism. Its description in RNAcentral is "bacterial SSU rRNA". It matches the Rfam family "Bacterial small subunit ribosomal RNA", at positions 83 to 1322 of the family's 1533-position model. The record is from RNAcentral.